RNAcentral lists this ribosomal RNA (253 nucleotides) under uncultured bacterium. RNAcentral's name for it is "partial 16S ribosomal RNA". It matches the Rfam family "Bacterial small subunit ribosomal RNA", at positions 524 to 776 of the family's 1533-position model. The record is from RNAcentral.
GACAGAGGGUGCAAACGUUGUUCGGAAUUACUGGGCGUAAAGCGAGUGUAGGCGGUCUGACAAGUCAGGUGUGAAAGCCCCGGGCUCAACCCGGGAAGUGCACUUGAAACUGCCAGGCUAGAGUAUCGGAGAGGUUGGUGGAAUUCUCGGUGUAGAGGUGAAAUUCGUAGAUAUCGAGAGGAACACCGGUGGCGAAGGCGGCCAACUGGACGAAUACUGACGCUGAGACUCGAAAGCGUGGGGAGCAAACAGG